Molecule: long non-coding RNA, 2685 nt
Organism: Bombus huntii
Lineage: Eukaryota; Metazoa; Arthropoda; Insecta; Hymenoptera; Apidae
Exons: 4
Source: RefSeq, a predicted model, not a curated record
UUAUAUUGCAUACGUAAUUUCCAAAUAUUAAUUAGUGACUUGUAUUUAAAACGUUGUGUUUCGUUUUGUUUCAAAGAUAUAAUUAGCUGGUGACAAUUAGAAUCAGUCAGUUUUAUAUCGUCCACCUUGUAUAUUCAAUUUAUCGAUACAAAUACGAUAAUAAACAGCGUAAUUUCAACGUAAAUAAGAUAAAUAAUGUUAUUUGAAAAUAAACGUAAAUUUCGAUAGAGAUACAGAAUAAUGCGGAAUUUCAGAGAUAAUUUCAGGGUGAACAAAGUGAAUGGAAUAAAAUAAUGGACCGAUACAAAUUAGCUGUUGUAAUGGAUGAAGAAGAUGGAAUGAAGCGAAAAGAGCGUAGAAGGAAAAGAGUAAUAUACGAGCACGAUUUCCCUUCGCUGUUUAUUAUCUCGUUCAUUUACACGCGAAUACAUCGCGUGCAAUGAGCCAAUAAUUUUUGGUACACCGCGUACAUUCAUUCAGCAGAUCGAAAUAAAAAUACGAAAUACUGUACGUGCUCGGCUUUGCUUUAUUAUUAUACGUGUCUUGUACAUUGUAUCACGUUUCGCCAUUAUCUGGCCCAUUAUAUGAAUUUUUUAACCGACCGAAGGUAAAUUAUUUUCAAUGUGAUCGACAACUGUUUCGCGUGUCCCUUUUUAUCGCUACAUGCGUUGUGAUUUCUAUAUUCCUUUUAAAAUAAUUAUCAGACGUAUAAAUGAGCAAUUCAAAUAAACCUAAUUAAUUUUCUCACCCUCGUCCGCUCAUGUAUCGUUUACACGUUUUGCUGUUAGAAAUGACAUUCUGUUUGGCGAAGAUCAGUGCAACGUAAUCCCAAUAAAAUAAUCAAUUCGUAAGCGUCAAUAAUGGCAACGAACAAAGCACAUAACCGUGUGGCGGCACUCAACAGCGAAUACCAGCACUCGACACUAACUAGCGACGAACGACGGCAGCGCAGUGGUUAGCGCCUUAGGUUACGAACGUUCGGGACCCGGGUUCUCAAAUCCCGGCGACCGGAGUCCGAUUUUUCUUCCACGCAUCUAAAUUAGAGGAGAAAUAGCAGUACCCCAUCAGCGACAUCUACAAGUAUCACGGACAACACUUACGCCUCAACCGUGUUCUUUACAAAUUCCAACGAUGAAAAGACGCUGAAAAGAACGUGCGAGUGGAUUUGUCGUGUUCUUAGUGAAGAUAUCGUUAUCGUACGAUGUGUGUGCAUUUUGCUUUUAAACGGUUUAACACUAGAACUACCGAUAGUUAACACGAAGCUAUUUUUACCAAAACCAGUGAAAAUGACUGGUCUUUAAAAAAUACCUAAUAAUAGAAUAUUUUUAUAUUUAUUGAUUUAUUACUUUCUUACAGAAGCAAUUCCAUGUUAUAUAGUAUAUUUUUGGUAUUAUUAAUCCAUCUGGGACCAUGUUACCUAAACGAGGGUUGGCACGUUUAUAAAAUUGUAGAAACAGUCAUUUUGACUAGUGUGGUGUUUCUAAUGUUAGUAUUUAGCGAUCUAGCGAUCGAUCCGGAAUUUUCCUGACAACUGAUAUCGUCGUAUUGAAUGAUACACAGUAAAAGUUCGAAAAACGCGUGGCAAGUUGUAGAAAACGAGGAAACUGGUUAAUUGGGGUUCGAUAAACAGAUUGCAGGAUCCUUUUACACUUGGACAAGUACCAGUCAUUUUCACUGGUAUUGUUAUCGUUGCGAACUUGUAAAACUAGUCAAUUUGACUGGUGUGGUAGUUCUUUGUUGGUGUUAACACUUUAACUGCUACGCCGAAAUUACAUGUUUCGCUGAGGGCGCCACGGGAGUAUUUUAAUUAUUCAAAGCAUAUAACUGCAAAAUAAUAAUAAAUUCGUGAUGUAAGACAACAUUCUUCCCCAGUGGACCGUUUAUCUUCUUGGUGGUCACGGGUGACCACCGUAGCGUCUUGGUGACAGUUGAUAGCGACAUAUUAUAACUUCCUUUAUUUCAACAAAUUAUUCGCUUUCGUUAUUUUGUCGUAAACAAAAUGUGCAGGAUAUAUUGUUGAAACGUAUAGAAGAUAUUAGUAAACAGUAUUUGCUCAUUCUAUGUAUAAUAGUAAAAGGUAGGAUCACAAUAGCUAUUAUUUUAUUCUUUGGAUAAAUCUAUCACACCGUUCUGAGUCGAAAAAUCUUUAUUGCACUUUCUUACAUGGACUAGGGAUAAAAAUAAAAGAACAUCUUAAACCUAUCGAUUAAAUCUAUCGAUUGUAUCUAGAACUAUUUUCUAGUUACUAUUUAUUGUAACUAGCGCAUCUGCACAUGGUUGGCGAGCAUGAACUCACGUUGUCAUUUUCAACAUUUUUUAAGUUGAAGCGCUGCGGUCACCAAUGACCAACGUGGCAAUCAAAGUGUUAAAAGCUUCGGUUUGAUCGACGAGCAACGCUUCGGAGGCCCAGAACCAGCCGAGAAUUCGGCACAAACGCGAGAACAGCUCGAAGAGCAGUCCGGGCUAACGCAAGAAACCGUUUCAAACCCUCUGCAUAAGACGAGAAAGAUGCAAAAAGGAGGAAAUGUGGCGUGAAAUUGCUUCUCAUACUAAUCAGAUAUCAUAACGAGUCUUAGAUGGGAAACUACGCAGUAUCACCCGGUGUAUCCAUUUCACGGUGCUUCCUCAGCUGGACGACUUUAUCGAGUGAAAAGAUCAUGGCAUUCUUUCGAAGCGAAAAUUAUU